This 395-nucleotide ribosomal RNA is filed under the name uncultured bacterium. RNAcentral describes it as "bacterial SSU rRNA". It matches the Rfam family "Bacterial small subunit ribosomal RNA", at positions 358 to 770 of the family's 1533-position model. The record is from RNAcentral.
GGAAUAUUGCGCAAUGGACGAAAGUCUGACGCAGCCAUGCCGCGUGGGUGAAGAAGGCCUUCGGGUUGUAAAGCUCUUUCGCUGGGGAAGAUAAUGACGGUACCCAGUAAAGAAGCCCCGGCUAACUCCGUGCCAGCAGCCGCGGUAAUACGGAGGGGGCUAGCGUUGUUCGGAAUUACUGGGCGUAAAGCGCGCGUAGGCGGACUGGAAAGUUGGGGGUGAAAUCCCGGGGCUCAACCCCGGAACUGCCUCCAAAACUAUCAGUCUGGAGUUCGAGAGAGGUGAGUGGAAUUCCGAGUGUAGAGGUGAAAUUCGUAGAUAUUCGGAGGAACACCAGUGGCGAAGGCGGCUCACUGGCUCGAUACUGACGCUGAGGUGCGAAAGUGUGGGGAGCA